This 474-nucleotide ribosomal RNA is filed under the name uncultured bacterium. RNAcentral describes it as "partial 16S ribosomal RNA". It matches the Rfam family "Bacterial small subunit ribosomal RNA", at positions 28 to 507 of the family's 1533-position model. The record is from RNAcentral.
GAUGAACGCUAGCGGCAGGCCUAACACAUGCAAGUCGAGGGAGGAGCCUUCGGGCUUCGACCGGCGUACGGGUGCGUAACGCGUAUACAAUCUGCCUUUCACAUAGGGAUAGCCCGAAGAAAUUUGGAUUAAUACCUAAUGGUAUAUAGAUGUGGCAUCACCUUUAUAUUAAAGCUGAGGCGGUGAAAGAUGAGUAUGCGUUCUAUUAGCUAGUUGGAGAGGUAACGGCUCCCCAAGGCGACGAUAGAUAGGGGUUCUGAGAGGGAUAUCCCCCACACUGGUACUGAGAUACGGACCAGACUCCUACGGGAGGCAGCAGUGAGGAAUAUUGGACAAUGGUCGGAAGACUGAUCCAGCCAUGCCGCGUGCAGGAAGACGGCCUUAUGGGUUGUAAACUGCUUUUGCAGGGGAAGAAUAAGGACUACGCGUAGUUUGAUGACGGUACUCUGCGAAUAAGCAUCGGCUAACUCCGCG